AUACGGAGGGUGCAAACGUUGUUCGGAAUCACUGGGCGUAAAGCGCGCGCAGGCGGCUAUUUAAGUUGGAUGUGAAAGCCUACGGCUCAACCGUAGAACUGCAUCCAAAACUAUUUAGCUAGAGUGUGGGAGAGGAAGAUGGAAUUAGUUGUGUAGGGGUAAAAUCCGUAGAGAUAACUAGGAAUACCAAAAGCGAAGGCAAUCUUCUGGAACACUACUGACGCUGAGGUGCGAAAGCGUGGGGAGCAAACAGGAUUAGAUACCCUAGUAGUCC
This 274-nucleotide ribosomal RNA is filed under the name uncultured bacterium. RNAcentral's name for it is "partial 16S ribosomal RNA". It matches the Rfam family "Bacterial small subunit ribosomal RNA", at positions 523 to 796 of the family's 1533-position model. The record is from RNAcentral.